RNAcentral lists this ribosomal RNA (1268 nucleotides) under Escherichia coli. Its description in RNAcentral is "partial 23S ribosomal RNA". It matches the Rfam family "Bacterial large subunit ribosomal RNA", at positions 1551 to 2798 of the family's 2925-position model. The record is from RNAcentral. Lineage: Bacteria; Pseudomonadati; Pseudomonadota; Gammaproteobacteria; Enterobacterales; Enterobacteriaceae.
CAAGGCUGAGGCGUGAUGACGAGGCACUACGGUGCUGAAGCAACAAAUGCCCUGCUUCCAGGAAAAGCCUCUAAGCAUCAGGUAACAUCAAAUCGUACCCCAAACCGACACAGGUGGUCAGGUAGAGAAUACCAAGGCGCUUGAGAGAACUCGGGUGAAGGAACUAGGCAAAAUGGUGCCGUAACUUCGGGAGAAGGCACGCUGAUAUGUAGGUGAAGCGACUUGCUCGUGGAGCUGAAAUCAGUCGAAGAUACCAGCUGGCUGCAACUGUUUAUUAAAAACACAGCACUGUGCAAACACGAAAGUGGACGUAUACGGUGUGACGCCUGCCCGGUGCCGGAAGGUUAAUUGAUGGGGUUAGCGGCAACGCGAAGCUCUUGAUCGAAGCCCCGGUAAACGGCGGCCGUAACUAUAACGGUCCUAAGGUAGCGAAAUUCCUUGUCGGGUAAGUUCCGACCUGCACGAAUGGCGUAAUGAUGGCCAGGCUGUCUCCACCCGAGACUCAGUGAAAUUGAACUCGCUGUGAAGAUGCAGUGUACCCGCGGCAAGACGGAAAGACCCCGUGAACCUUUACUAUAGCUUGACACUGAACAUUGAGCCUUGAUGUGUAGGAUAGGUGGGAGGCUUUGAAGUGUGGACGCCAGUCUGCAUGGAGCCGACCUUGAAAUACCACCCUUUAAUGUUUGAUGUUCUAACGUGGGCCCGUAAUCCGGGUUGCGGACAGUGUCUGGUGGGUAGUUUGACUGGGGCGGUCUCCUCCUAAAGAGUAACGGAGGAGCACGAAGGUUGGCUAAUCCUGGUCGGACAUCAGGAGGUUAGUGCAAUGGCAUAAGCCAGCUUGACUGCGAGCGUGACGGCGCGAGCAGGUGCGAAAGCAGGUCAUAGUGAUCCGGUGGUUCUGAAUGGAAGGGCCAUCGCUCAACGGAUAAAAGGUACUCCGGGGAUAACAGGCUGAUACCGCCCAAGAGUUCAUAUCGACGGCGGUGUUUGGCACCUCGAUGUCGGCUCAUCACAUCCUGGGGCUGAAGUAGGUCCCAAGGGUAUGGCUGUUCGCCAUUUAAAGUGGUACGCGAGCUGGGUUUAGAACGUCGUGAGACAGUUCGGUCCCUAUCUGCCGUGGGCGCUGGAGAACUGAGGGGGGCUGCUCCUAGUACGAGAGGACCGGAGUGGACGCAUCACUGGUGUUCGGGUUGUCAUGCCAAUGGCACUGCCCGGUAGCUAAAUGCGGAAGAGAUAAGUGCUGAAAGCAUCUAAGCACGAAACUUGCC